Molecule: ribosomal RNA, 372 nt
Filed under: uncultured organism
Description: partial 16S ribosomal RNA
Rfam family: Bacterial small subunit ribosomal RNA
Source: RNAcentral
GGAGGGUGCAAGCGUUAAUCGGAAUUACUGGGCGUAAAGCGCACGUAGGUGGAUACUUAAGUUGGAUGUGAAAGACCCGGGCUCAACCUGGGAGCGCCAUCCAAAACUGGGUGUCUAGAGUACAGUAGAGGGAAGUGGAAUUUCCGGUGUAGCGGUGAAAUGCGUAGAUAUCGGAAGGAACACCCGUGGCGAAGGCGACUUUCUGGACUGUGACUGACACUGAGGUGCGAAAGCGUGGGGAGCGAACAGGAUUAGAUACCCUGGUAGUCCACGCUGUAAACGAUGAGAACUAGCCGUUGGUGGUAUAAAAAUCAUCAGUGGCGUAGCUAACGCGCGAAGUUCUCCGCCUGGGGGAUACGGCCCGCAAGGUUA